AGUUAAGUCCAUAAAAGUAGAAUACUCAGAUUAGAGGAUGCAACUCCUGUGUGACGCUUGAGGUAAAAUAGCUAAAUGUUUGAUGCUUAUAUAAUUGAACACUUAGGAGCGUGGAAUGUGAAUAUAUGAUAGAAAUUGGGAGAUAUUGAUUGGAGAAGUUGUGGUGAUUAAUUGUGUUAUAACUUGCUUGCUUUGUGUUGAUGAGUUAAACAUGAGUUAAAUUUCAAGCUAAAGCAUGCUAAUGUGCAAUAAGAUGAUGUAAUUGAGUCCCUAUAGUUUGCAGGAGAAUGCUACUCCAAAAAGUAAAUUGAUGAAGUAAGGAUAGAGUGGAGUUGGUGCUAAAAAGCAGAGAAGAAAAGGGUAGGCGAGAAGAGUUGGAGUUUCUAAUUCCUUUCAUUUCGUUCCCCUUUUUGUUUAAAAACUGAAAUUCUCUUCUCAUUUCCCUCUUUGGCAGAUCGGAAAUCACCGCGGUUCCGCUGCCGCCAUCGCCGAACCCGACCCAGACUCCCAGAAUACAAAUCUCAGCCCAAAAGUAAAAGUAUCAAGAUUCAAAUGUUGGAUGAAAUUUGUGAUGUUGGAUGAAAUUUGUGAUGUUGGAU
RNAcentral lists this long non-coding RNA (599 nucleotides) under Salvia miltiorrhiza (redroot sage). Its description in RNAcentral is "long non-coding RNA (SMIL_LNC012314)". Lineage: Eukaryota; Viridiplantae; Streptophyta; Magnoliopsida; Lamiales; Lamiaceae. The record is from RNAcentral.